CAAGAGUUGAGAUGAGAUGCUUCAGGACGGAAGCGCUCGUGUUAUCAGGAAGGGUCUCUCUCUCUCUUGACAGUUGUCACAGCUCCACCUCUCGUCGUCGGUUCGGGCUGUUUUUAGAAAAGUUGAGACAGGUUAAUGUGUUUCGUGAUCUGGUGACAACACAGACAAUGCAAUUUGUAUCCUUCUCAAGUCAAUGACUAGAGGUUAACAGAAAGCUAUAAGAGCAAAUGGUGUCUGUGAGGAUUGGAAUGAUGUUGGAAAUGUCACACUCAUUUCCCAGAGGUGAUCCACGUGCUUGGGAGGUGGAUUGUGGCAUUAACAGCGGUGUGAGGAAAGUGGGGAAUACAUAAUUUUUUACUUUUUUUGGGAGUGAGAAAUUCAUAACCUGCGAUUCAAUGUUCCACUGUCUGGUUUAAAUAUUUUCUUUUUUUUUAUUAAUAUGUACUUAACCCAAAGUAAA
This is a non-coding RNA of Misgurnus anguillicaudatus (oriental weatherfish), 460 nucleotides long. The record is from RefSeq and is a predicted model, not a curated record. Lineage: Eukaryota; Metazoa; Chordata; Actinopteri; Cypriniformes; Cobitidae.